UACGAAGGGGGCUAGCGUUGUUCGGAAUCACUGGGCGUAAAGGGCGCGUAGGCGGCUUUAUAAGUCGGGGGUGAAAGCCUGUGGCUCAACCACAGAAUUGCCUUCGAUACUGUAGAGCUUGAGACCGGAAGAGGUAAGUGGAACUGCGAGUGUAGAGGUGAAAAUUCGUAGAUAUUCGCAAGAACACCAGUGGCGAAGGCGGCUUACUGGUCCGGUUCUGACGCUGAGGCGCGAAAGCGUGGGGAGCAAACAGG
RNAcentral lists this ribosomal RNA (254 nucleotides) under uncultured bacterium. RNAcentral describes it as "partial 16S ribosomal RNA". It matches the Rfam family "Bacterial small subunit ribosomal RNA", at positions 524 to 776 of the family's 1533-position model. The record is from RNAcentral.